CUAGCCUGGGAACCUCCAUAUGCUGCGGGUGUGGCCCUAAAAAGGACAAAAAGACAAAAAAGAGAAAAGAAAGGAGCCUCUUUCAACCUGGAGCUGGAGCCAGACUGGUGUGACCAGCUUCCUUUUCAGGACCAGGGAUCGACCCUGCAACCUCAUGGAUACUGGUCGGGUUCGUUACCACUGAGCCACGACGGGAGCUCCAGGCCGGGCGUUUUAGGCCGGAAGAAGAGUGUGGAGUAAAACGGAAGGUAACGAGGUCACUUGUCCAUCAGGAGAAAGCCACAGGCACAGCAUGAGAGCUUCACCCUGUGAGCUGAGAGACGUCUUGCACAGCCUUGAGGCGUGGGAACCGUAUCCCUGCUUUGACGCCUGGGGAACCUGGGGCUCCAAGAGGCAAUGUCGCCUGUCUAAGUGUCUUUUGGUUGGUGAUGUGGCUGCGCUGCUGAAAUACACGCUGGUGUCCCGAAGCCCGGGAAGGCUGCCCGGUGUCACACGGAGCAAAACAUGUGCGUGAGAUGCGCUUCCUGCGGACCCAUGCUGUAGCGUUAUUGGCCGUGAGCUCGGUGUGAGUGAACCAAUCAGAUACAUUACACACGGUGUCUUGAAACAGAAACACACAUCAAACCAGGUUACGCACUGUCAGCUGACGCCGAGGUUGUGAACAUGCUGCUUUCCCUGUAUGCCUCUCAGGAGCGGUGGGUCAGGAGUCACUAAUUCCUCGUUCAUGGAGACUUUAGAGAAUGUUAACGAUGGCCAAUAAUGGGAAUCGAACGUAUAAUUUUACAGGCACAGAGACCCAGGAGAUGUCUAGUGUCUUUAUUUUACAGAUGAGGAAACCCAGGAGUCGAGAGGUCAAGGAAAUUGCCCAUCCUAAGCGACACCCACCGUCUAGACGACUAAACCCACCCUUUUGAUGACAGGCUUGUUGCAAACACGUUCUUCGCCUCCACGGAAGAUGAAAGGAAGAUCACAGACGUUUAGGAAACAAAUGUCCUCUGCUAUGUUCAAAAGGGGCAGGGGGAGGGUGCCGGGCUGGGGGGUUCACUGCACAAGACUCAUCUGCGUGUAUUUCGGCGAUGACAUAUGGAUGGGGUUGGUCAGAGGGGCUCGAACCUGAAUGUUCCCUGAAAGCACUUCAGUGACUCAAAAAAAAAAAAAAGUAUGUCAGCCUUUCGGCCCUGGAUGGCAUUCCCUGCAAUUGCUCAACAAAUGAUUCUUUGUAGAACUAUUAUUGUUGAUUAUUGUUAUUGGUCGGACCAGCAGUUCCCUGGCCAGGGAUCAAACCCAGGCCAGCACUGACAACACGCCAUCAUCAACCUGCGGCACCCCAAGGGGACUCCUGAUUCUUUGUCCUAGUGACAGAGCCUUGAACGUCCACAAAACCACAGGGGAAGGCAGUCUACCUUUCUCCCUGAAAUGCAUCUCCUAUUUGCAUCCCCUUUUCAGCACUUCGAUCGCCCUAUCUGUUGACUAUUGUGAUCAUUCAUUUUAUGUGUCAGCUUAAACUAUCUGGCCAUGUGCCCAGAUAUUUGAUCAAACGUUAUUCUGGAUAUUAAGGGAAUUUGGGGGGAGGGAGGCAGGAUUUAUUUUUAUGUAUGCCACUGAUGGAUUUGCUUGUUUGUUAUUUUUACAUGCGCUUCAUUUCAUUUUAUUUUUUCCUGGCUUUACUGAGAUAGAGUUGACAUAAAACUGUGUAAG
Non-coding RNA from Sus scrofa (pig), 1698 nucleotides. The record is from RefSeq and is a predicted model, not a curated record. Lineage: Eukaryota; Metazoa; Chordata; Mammalia; Artiodactyla; Suidae.